This 446-nucleotide ribosomal RNA is filed under the name uncultured bacterium. RNAcentral describes it as "partial 16S ribosomal RNA". It matches the Rfam family "Bacterial small subunit ribosomal RNA", at positions 338 to 795 of the family's 1533-position model. The record is from RNAcentral.
CCUACGGGAGACAGCAGUCGAGAAUCAUUCACAAUGGGGGAAACCCUGAUGGUGCGACGCCGCGUGGGGGAAUGAAGGUCUUCGGAUUGUAAACCCCUGUCAUGUGGGAGCAAAUUAAAAAGAUAGUACCACAAGAGGAAGAGACGGCUAACUCUGUGCCAGCAGCCGCGGUAAUACAGAGGUCUCAAGCGUUGUUCGGAAUCACUGGGCGUAAAGCGUGCGUAGGCUGUUUCGUAAGUCGUGUGUGAAAGGUGCGGGCUCAACCCGCGGACGGCACAUGAUCCUGCGAGACUAGAGUAAUGGAGGGGGAACCGGAAUUCUCGGUGUAGCAGUGAAAUGCGUAGAUAUCGAGAGGAACACUCGUGGCGAAGGCGGGUUCCUGGACAUUAACUGACGCUGAGGCACGAAGGCCAGGGGAGCGAAAGGGAUUAGAUACCCCAGUAGUC